GACGUAGGGCGCGAGCGUUGUCCGGAUUUAUUGGGCGUAAAGAGCUCGUAGGCGGCUUGUCGCGUCUGCUGUGAAAACCCGAGGCUCAACCUCGGGCCUGCAGUGGGUACGGGCAGACUAGAGUGCGGUAGGGGAGAAUGGAAUUCCUGGUGUAGCGGUGAAAUGCGCAGAUAUCAGGAGGAACACCGGUGGCGAAGGCGGGUCUCUGGGCCGUAACUGACGCUGAGGAGCGAAAGCGUGGGGAGCGAACAGG
This 253-nucleotide ribosomal RNA is filed under the name uncultured bacterium. Its description in RNAcentral is "partial 16S ribosomal RNA". It matches the Rfam family "Bacterial small subunit ribosomal RNA", at positions 524 to 776 of the family's 1533-position model. The record is from RNAcentral.